This 497-nucleotide ribosomal RNA is filed under the name uncultured bacterium. RNAcentral's name for it is "partial 16S ribosomal RNA". It matches the Rfam family "Bacterial small subunit ribosomal RNA", at positions 28 to 507 of the family's 1533-position model. The record is from RNAcentral.
GAUGAACGCUGGCGGCGUGCCUAAUACAUGCAAGUCGAGCGAACAGACGAGUAGCUUUCUCCUCGGACGUUAGCGGCGGACGGGUGGUGAACACGUGGAUAACCUCCUGAUCAGACUGGGUGAACUACGGGAUACCGGAGUUACUACCGGAUAAUAUAUUGAACCGCUUGGUUGAAUAGUGAGAGACGGUUUUUCUGUCACUUAUAGAUGGAUUCGCGCCGCAUUAGCUAGUUGGUAAGGUAACGGCUUACCAAGGCAACGAUGCGUAGCCGCCCUGAGAGGGGGAUCGGCCGCAACGGAACGGCGAAGAGGCCGAGCAUCCUCCGAGAGGAAGCAGUAGGGAAUCUUAUGCAACGGGCGAAAGCAUGAUGGAGCAACGCCGCGGGAGUGAUGAAGGUCUUCGGAUCGUAAUGCUCUGUUAUUGGGGAAGAAGAAAUGUGGAAGUAACUAUGCACGUCUUGACGGUACCUAAUCAGAAAGCGACGGCUAACUACGUG